Molecule: ribosomal RNA, 751 nt
Filed under: uncultured bacterium
Lineage: Bacteria
Description: bacterial SSU rRNA
Rfam family: Bacterial small subunit ribosomal RNA
Source: RNAcentral
UAUACCCAGAUCUAAGGAAUAGCCACUGGAAACGGUGAGUAAUACCUUAUACGCCCUUCGGGGAAAGAUUUAUCGGAUUUGGAUUAGCCCGCGUUAGAUUAGAUAGUUGGUGGGGUAAUGGCCUACCAAGUCUACGAUCUAUAGCUGGUUUUAGAGGAUGAUCAGCAACACUGGGACUGAGACACGGCCCAGACUCCUACGGGAGGCAGCAGUGGGGAAUCUUGGACAAUGGGCGCAAGUGAUCCAGCCAUGCCGCGUGAGUGAUGAAGGCCUUAGGGUCGUAAAGCUCUUUCGCCAGGGAUGAUAAUGACAGUACCUGGUAAAGAAACCCCGGCUAACUCCGUGCCAGCAGCCGCGGUAAUACGGAGGGGGUUAGCGUUGUUCGGAAUUACUGGGCGUAAAGCGCGCGUAGGGGAUUGGAAAGUUGGGGGUGAAAUCCCGGGGCUCAACCCCGAACUGCCUCCAAAACUAUCAGUCUAGAGUUCGAGAGAGGUGAGUGGAAUUCCAAGUGUAGAGGUGAAAUUCGUAGAUAUUUGGAGGAACACCAGUGGCGAAGGGGCUCACUGGCUCGAUACUGACGCUGAGGUGCGAAAGUGUGGGGAGCAAACAGGAUUAGAUACCCUGGUAGUCCACACCGUAAACGAUGAAUGCCAGACGUCGGGGGGCUUGCCUUCGGUGUCACACCUAACGGAUUAAGCAUUCCGCCUGGGGAGUACGGUCGCAAGAUUAAAACUCAAAGGAAUUGACGGGG